Lutra lutra (Eurasian river otter) is the source of this 500-nucleotide long non-coding RNA. RefSeq lists it as uncharacterized. The transcript has 3 exons. NCBI's taxonomy places the organism in Eukaryota, Metazoa, Chordata, Mammalia, Carnivora, Mustelidae. The record is from RefSeq and is a predicted model, not a curated record.
GCUAGAACAGGAGACGUGCACUCUGUGUGAGCCCGGCGGGCUGCGUCAGGAUGUGUCCUCAGGUCUGGGGACACCAUUCUGGCCACCACGCUCUGAGCACGUGUCUGUGCCCGGGCAGGCGAAGCCCUAGGAAGUCCUUGGAGGGGAAGGCUUUAUUGGGAAGUGAGAAGAGGUGAGGUGGCCUUUUACGAAGAUCCCUCUGGCCCUCUGGCUGCUCCAGUGGAGGGGGCUGCGUGACGUGCGACAUGGCAAGAGGCCGAAUGCAGAAGUGAACAUAUGACUUUGGCUCUUGUUUUCUGAUCCAGACUAACAGGUUUGCAAGGCGCCCAAAGUGGGCCCAGCGGCCCUGGACAAGGAGAAAUUGCAGGCAGGAGACCAUCGCAGGGAGAUGGAGACUGCGGCGGCCUCGACCGAGUUGACAUUACCCCGUAGUAACACAGGGGGGCGCCCUUGCCAAUCAGCAGAUCCGUCCAGCUGAACGCCGAGAUUACCAACGGGAG